CAAUAGCGUAUAUUAAAGUUGUUGCGGUUAAAAAGCUCGUAGUCGAAUUACGUACGUGUGACCCAGACAUAAGUACAUCUGUACGAGUGAUCUGUGUGUUGUGCGUCUUGGGUAAUUACAAGUUGGAAUAUACGGCUGCACUUAACUGUGUGGUCUUUCCUCUGUUAUUCCCAAACGUUACUUUGAGGAAAUUAGUGUGUUCAAAGCGGGCAUCCGCCACGAAUAUAUUAGCAUGGAAUAACAAUAUAGAUGUGCAUCUAUUUUGUUGGUUUCGCGAUGCAUAUAAAUGCUUAAUAGGGACAAUUGGGGGCAUUCGUACUUAACCGUCAGAGGUGAAAUUCUUGGAUUGGUUAAUGACGAACUACUGCGAAAGCAUUUGCCAAAGAUGUUUUCAUUGAUCAAGAACGAAAGUUAGGGGAUCGAAGACGAUUAGAUACCGU
Molecule: ribosomal RNA, 440 nt
Filed under: uncultured eukaryote
Lineage: Eukaryota
Description: bacterial SSU rRNA
Rfam family: Eukaryotic small subunit ribosomal RNA
Source: RNAcentral